This is a non-coding RNA of Lactuca sativa (garden lettuce), 2614 nucleotides long. Lineage: Eukaryota; Viridiplantae; Streptophyta; Magnoliopsida; Asterales; Asteraceae. The record is from RefSeq and is a predicted model, not a curated record.
UUCUACGUGUCUUCCCUGUCGUUUAUUGUCCACGUGCUCUUUUCUUCUUUCUCCCUGUUUCUUUUGGGUCAACUUCCACCGCUGUUUCUUUCUUUUUGUUCUUGCUUUUUUUUUUGGAUAGGUAACUUCUCUCUCUUCUUCUUCUAUUUCCCCUUUUUGUUUUACAGAAGAUGAAGAUGUGGAUGCAACGGGGUUCGAUCAGUUGGAAGAAAAGGUUUCCGACAGGGCCGAACAGAAGGAAAAGAGAAAAGGCAAUUGGUCUCGGUGGUGAUUGACGAACAGGGGUAUGGCGAUCCACACCCAGCGGCGGCAGUAGGUGGCUCCACCACUUCUUCCUCUUCUAUUUCGUUCGUCCGGCAGCAAACCCAGAUGGAGAAAGCAUGGUGGAGUUGUCCCCUUCUACAAAUGGCGGCGAAGCGCACCUGCGACGGUAGUAGCAGCGGACGAAAGCUGCGCCGGUAGUAGCAUCGGACGAAAGCUGCAAUCACGACAGCAGCAAAUGGCGGUGAACAAGUGUUUGGUGGCUGUUGUGGAGUUAGAAGGGAAAGAGAGUGGUGCGACGGGGUGGGUCUCGGUCUAUGGGAUCAACGAGAAAGAUGGAGACGGACUGCCUGUUGCGGUGAUUGCAGAAAUCAAGGCAGAAGCCACAAAGCUUCAAUUUGGAUAAACUAUUGGCAAAUUCACCUCCAUGGCCUCCAAUAAUAAGUACUACCCUUGAUAGAGACAUGAUAACAGUGGAGUUUACCAAUCUUAUAAUAUCGGAUUCCAACGUGUAAAUGGUUUUCAGAUCGCGUCGCCGCUAGCAUCUCAUCUAACCCGAAUCUUCUUUGGCAGUUCAAUCAAUCAAAACUCCUAACCUUGCAACAGAAAACCAACAAACAGCCUACAUCUCAGGUCAAUGAUUCAGAGACUUGGGCCAUCUCCAUCACGAAAAUCGACCGGCCUGGCUUAGGAUCAGGCUUCGCAGCGAGGUGGGAGGCAAGGAACUGUCACUGGUGUUGAAAUGAAAACGAAGGUUGGGACAAGCAGGUAGUAAAAGGGGGAAGCUCCUGCUACUGUCAAAUCUUACUAUCACCAAAGAAUUGUUGUUUGCCCUGUUGUAGAAGGGGAUUCCAUCUUUUGGGUAUGGUGGAUGAUGUUAAGGGUUAUACACAACCUAAUAGUUCAUCUUCACUUUCUUUCAUAAAGUCAAAAUAUAGAUGACUGAGGGUUUAUCCGUUUCAUUUGCUACUUUGGAGAUGCACAUUAGAAUGGAGUAUAUGUAUCAAAUUAAGUAUCACAAUCAAAUGAUUUGACUUGCACAUUAGAUGUUUGACAGAAUGCCUGAAUGAAACUGAUCAGAUUCUCUUGAAAGCAACUUUUGAUUAUGGAUUUUAUUUACAUUUACAGAUUGAUCUGCAAGUGGUCCCUCAUUUUGAGUUUUCAGUCAAAAAUCCACAUGAUGUUUGGGAUGGAAAAAACAUGGAUUAUGUAAGAUAGGUUAUUCAGUGUAGAUAUUUCGCAUGGCUUGAAAUAGAGGAUGGAGUAAUUUCCAUUCGAACGUGGUUCAACAAAUCAUGAGUUUAUUCAUCUUUUAAAUAUUUAGAGCUUUUAUGUUAAUUCCAGGUGAUGCUCAAUACAGUUGUUGCUGCAAUAUUAGUGCUUAAAAUUUGUACAGGUGGUGAUUGGUCCUCAACACUUAAAAGGUAACCAUUUGAUUCAACAUGUGGAUAUUGUAAACCAAAAUCAAAAGUUUAACAGGUUAGCAAAUAAUUUUUAUAUAUAAAUUUUUAUUCUCAACUUUUUGGAUGUUUUUUGAUAGAGUUUGGAGAGCAGGGGAAUUGCCCCCAGGUGGUGUUUGUAUUGCUAAUGAAGUUCAAGCUAGAUUUAGACAGAAUGGCAAAAUAGUCAACUUUUUCUUUUUAGUAGUUCGGAUUUAUUAUUAUUAUUAUUAUUAUUAUUAUUAUUAUUAUUAUUAUUAUUAUUAUUAUUAUGUGACAUGGAAUAAAAAGAAGUCUUUUUAUCACAUGCAUGUGAUAUUAUCAAAGUAGUCAAUUUUAGUAUGGUGAAAAAUGUGAGGCAAUGUAUGUUUGAUGAGAAUAAUCAUGUUUUUUACUCGAGUUACUAAUGAUAAUCAGUUUUUUUUUUUGGGAUAUAGAAAUGAACGAGGAAGACGAGUUCAAUGGCUGCAAGUUUAGGAAGGAGUACACACCACAACAAUUCAAUGAUGAAUCCAUUAAUUAUCACUUACAAUCACACGUGGUUUCAGGUUUAAUCCCAGUAGCAUAACCUUAUUUAGGGUUGACCUGCCUGUCGAGAUGAGUGAGUACAUACUCUUAUUGGGAUCAAAAUAUUGGUGCUUUAGUUGAUGAAUCCACAAUUGAUGAGGGCGUUUUGGUAAUUCGUCCAAAUGCUGACACAGAAUGCUUAAAUCUGGGUAUUUGUAAAUACACUAUAAUAUUAUUCUUUUUUGCUUCUCAUUCCCGCUUUCACAUAUAUUGAUUGUUUGGUUACAUGGUUCUUUGUCAUGCAACAUAAGGAUUGUGUUAUACAAAUAUGGAGUAUGUAUUUUGUUUUUUACUCAUAAUAAUGAAAAUACACUCAUCUAAAUACAAUGAAAAUCCAUUCAAUUCAA